CCGGCCGCCCCCGGAGCUCGCAAAGUUCGGAUCCGCAAGGACCGGGCCAGCGGGACGUCCGCGUGGCAGGGUGCACUUUCUCCGCGGUCGAGUGCUACGACCGGUUUCGCGGCGGUCAGAAGCCCGGCGGAAAGGUAGCGCCGCCCCUCGGGGUGUCGUGUUAUAGGCCGCCGCGGUGGACUCGCCGCGAGACCGAGGACGCUUGCCGCGCCGAGCGGUCCCGGGCCGUCUUGGGUGGUUCGACCUCGGCUGCACUGCUCCGCAGAGCACCGUAACCGCCGCCCUAGCACGGGUCCGGAGACUGCCGGCGCCUCGGGUCAGUAGCG
RNAcentral lists this ribosomal RNA (326 nucleotides) under Corbicula sp. Hw2b. RNAcentral describes it as "partial 28S ribosomal RNA". The record is from RNAcentral. Lineage: Eukaryota; Metazoa; Mollusca; Bivalvia; Venerida; Cyrenidae.